RNAcentral lists this ribosomal RNA (397 nucleotides) under uncultured beta proteobacterium. RNAcentral describes it as "bacterial SSU rRNA". It matches the Rfam family "Bacterial small subunit ribosomal RNA", at positions 114 to 507 of the family's 1533-position model. The record is from RNAcentral. Lineage: Bacteria; Pseudomonadati; Pseudomonadota; Betaproteobacteria.
UGCGUCGGAACGUACCGAGUAAUGGGGGAUAACGCGGCGAAAGUCGCGCUAAUACCGCAUACGCCCUGAGGGGGAAAGCAGGGGAUCGCAAGACCUUGCGUUAUUCGAGCGGCCGACGUCUGAUUAGCUAGUUGGUGGGGUAAAGGCUCACCAAGGCGACGAUCAGUAGCGGGUCUGAGAGGAUGAUCCGCCACACUGGGACUGAGACACGGCCCAGACUCCUACGGGAGGCAGCAGUGGGGAAUUUUGGACAAUGGGGGCAACCCUGGUCCAGCCAUUCCGCGUGAGUGAAGAAGGCCUUCGGGUUGUAAAGCUCUUUCAGUUGGAGCGAAACGGUACGCUCUAACAUAGCGUGCUAAUGACGGUACCAGCAGAAGAAGCACCGGCUAACUACGUG